UGCAUGUGGACUCACUGGUGAGAACUCGU
RNAcentral lists this non-coding RNA (29 nucleotides) under Rattus norvegicus (Norway rat). The record is from RNAcentral. Lineage: Eukaryota; Metazoa; Chordata; Mammalia; Rodentia; Muridae.